RNAcentral lists this transfer RNA (63 nucleotides) under Scolytinae sp. BMNH 1040319. RNAcentral's name for it is "tRNA-Val". The record is from RNAcentral. Lineage: Eukaryota; Metazoa; Arthropoda; Insecta; Coleoptera; Curculionidae.
CAGGCUAAAGCUUUAAUAAGUUUUUUAUUUACAUUAAAAUGAUUGUCUUAGGACAUUGCUUGA